Molecule: ribosomal RNA, 253 nt
Filed under: uncultured bacterium
Lineage: Bacteria
Description: partial 16S ribosomal RNA
Rfam family: Bacterial small subunit ribosomal RNA
Source: RNAcentral
UACGAAGGGGGCGAGCGUUGUUCGGAUUUACUGGGCGUAAAGGGCGCGCAGGCGGCGAGUUUUGUCAGGCGUGAAAGCCCCGGGCUCAACCUGGGAAUUGCGCUUGAAACGGGCUUGCUAGAGAUCGGGAGAGGAGCGUGGAAUUCCCAGUGUAGAGGUGAAAUGCGCAGAUAUCAGGAGGAACACCGGUGGCGAAGGCGGGUCUCUGGGCCGAUACUGACGCUGAGGAGCGAAAGCGUGGGGAGCGAACAGG